CCCCUCCCCCACUCCGAGCCAAGACCAAGACCCGCGCAAGACGUCACUCAACUGUCUUCGUGACGUAACAGACCAACAGUUCAAAACCCAGUGUCGUGGAGGUUGGUCGCUGCUCCUCGGUCCGGCGGUGAGAAUCUUUCAAGUGUGUGAAAACAAAACCACAAAAAAACAAUAAAAAAAACGCGGACUAAGAAAUGAUUGUGAUUGGUGUGUGUGUGUGAGAACCAAAACAAACAAACAAACAAACAAAACAGUAAUAUUAUGAUAAGGAAAAUUUUAAUAGUGAGAGUGAAAGUGAAGACAAUAUCGUAAGGAAAUGAAAAUUGAUGAAAGUGAAAGAGAGUGAGAAAGAGAAAAGUCAUUGUCUUCGUUAUUGUUGUUGUUUUUGUUGAAGGUGAGGUAGAGAAUCUGAGCCUCUUAAUAAGGAAAAUGCUGAUUGUGAGAGUGAAGGUGAAAACAAUAUCGUAAGGAGAUGAAAAUGAUGAAAGUGAAAGAGUGAGAAACAGAAGUCAUUGUUAUUGUUGUUGUUUUUGUUGAAGGUGAGGAAGAGAAUCUAAGCCUCUUAAUAAGGAAAAUGCUGAUUGUGAGAGUGAAAGUGAAGACAAUAUCGUAAGGAGAUGAAAAUGAUGAAAGUGAAAGUGAAAAAAUGAUAAUGAAAAUGUUGAUAGUGAGAGUGAAAGUGAAGACAAUAUCGUAAGAUGAAAAUGAUGAAAGUGAGAGGUAGAAAGUGAUAAGGAAAAUGCUGUUCGUGAAAGUGAAAGUGAAAACAAUAUCGUAAGGGGAUGGAAAUGAUGAAAGUGAAAGUGAAAAAGUGAUAAGGAAAAUGUUGAUAGUGAGUGAAAGUGAAAACAAUAUCGUAAGGAGAUGAAAAUGAUGAAAGUGAAAGUGAAAAAGUGAUAAGGAAAAUGCUGAUAGUGAGAGUGAAAGUGAAAACAAGAUUGUAAGGAGAUAAAAAUGAUGAAAGUGAGAAAGUGAGAAGAUGAAAGCGGUGAAGAAAAUCUGAGCCUCUUAAUUAUUUACCUGAAACACCUGGAACACACCUGGACUCCUCUACACAGGUGAGUUUCCCGGCGCGGCCAUUCACGGUCAAACAAACAAACAAACAACAAGAAAAAGCAACAAGAACAUUCAAUAAACAAGAGUCCCAGAUAUUCAAACAUUCAACAAGGCGAGCUGGACGAACCAACAGAGCGGGCUGAAGCGAUCCAAUCCCAGAUGAUCCCAAGCGAGCCGGUAUAAGGGAAUUGGAUCCUAUACUCGCCCGGCUAUAAGGGAAUCGGAUCCUGUACCAUGCAAACACAAGGAGGAUUAGAAGGAGGAAGAGGAGGGUCAGAGUCUAUACAAAUGCUUAUGGAUCUUAAAGAGGGCAAGCGUACGUACGGACAGGCGGCCCAGGCACGGACACCCCCCACGGACCGGGCGUCGAGUUCCCUUCAGUGACCCCCUCAGGAAUACUGGACGAGAAAGAAAACGGGGGACGAGUGUUAGCUGCUGGUGCGGAGGACGACGAAGAUGGGAGGAAUAUAGGAAUGCUGUUGGAAGAAGAGGAAGAAGAAGAAGAGGAGGAGGUUGAGAUAUAGAAGACAGAGGAAGAAAAGAACACGUGAAGAAGAAAAGGAGGUGCAGAGGAAGAAGAAAAAACAGAAGAAGAUGAAGAAGAAGAAGAGGAGAUUGAGAGAUAGAAGACAGAGGAAGAAAAGAUGAAGAAAAUAACACAUGAAGAAGAAAAGGAGGUGCAGAGGAAGAAGAAAAAACAGAAGAUGAAGAAGAAGAGGAGGAGGAGGUUAAGAUAUAGAAGACAGAGGAAGAAAAGAUGAAGAAAAUAACACCUGAAGAAGAAAAGGAGGCGCAGAGAAAGAAGAAAAGAAUAGAAGAUGAUGAUGAAAAAGAAGACGGAGAAGAUUGAAAAAAGGAGAAAAAGAAAAGUUGCAUAAGAGGAUAUAGAAGAAAAGAUAAAGAAGAUAAGGAGAAGAAAAGAAAGUGAACAGAAAUAAGAAAGAUGACAUAAGAGGAUACAGAAGAAGAAAACAGAUAAUAAAAGAAGAUAAGAAGAUUGAGAAGAAGGUAAAGAAAGAACACAGAAAGAGAAAGAAGAUAAAGAAGAAGAUUACGAAAGAAAAUGAGAACCAAAACCAUAAACAAGAUAAAAAGAAGAGAAGGAGAAGAUAAAGAAGAAGAGAAGUAGGAUAACGAAGACUAACAUUGAAUAGUAAUAGUAGUAGAAAACCAAUUAACUCUGCUAUGAGAGAACAUGAAUUUAACAACACAUGUCUUAAUAUUAAAUGGUAUCUCUAAAAUGUAUUAAACAGAAACAGCA
Molecule: long non-coding RNA, 2317 nt
Organism: Eriocheir sinensis (Chinese mitten crab)
Lineage: Eukaryota; Metazoa; Arthropoda; Malacostraca; Decapoda; Varunidae
Exons: 5
Source: RefSeq, a predicted model, not a curated record